ACAAACCUGGGAUUCCCUCGCCCUCAGAUUCCAGAAUCCAAUUUCUUGGAUUUCAGUGUUUUUAAGGAUUCCGUGAGUCAGGAGCUUGGCCAGGUUCAUCUGGGACACUCAUCUUUGCUUCACCUCAUGUCAGCCGCAGCAUCUUAGGAAUGCAAGACAGCCUCGUUCACAUCCGGCAGUGGGUGCCAGCUGUCCACUGGGUGCCUUCGCUCUUUUUCAAGUGGUUUCUCAUCCUCUGGGGUUUCCCUGUCUCCAUGUGGCUUCCCUAGCAAGUUGCUCAGAUUUCUUUACGUGGAAACUGGCUUUCUAGAGGGUAAAAAUGGAAGCUGCAAGGACUCUUAUGGCCCAGAAGUCCCAGAACGUCACUUCUUCCACAAGUCAUAGGCCAGCCAAGAUUCAAGGGGAAGGAAACAGACUCUGUCUCUUCAUAUUUCAAUGGGGCGAAUUGUUGCAGCCACCUUUGGAAACAAUCUACGGCAAUACACUACAGCAGUGGAUAUCUGUGCCCUUACCAGGUGCCAGAUGCCGUACUAACAGCUUUAUAUGGAUGAACUCAUUUAAUCCUCCCAAACUCCAUGAGGUUUUGCAGUCCUUGCCAUGAGUGGCCAGUUGCUGAUAGCAUUGCUGCUGCCUGUUGCUAUUCUGGGAUAGGGACUGAGGAUGUGCUGUGAUUACCCAGACCAGAAGGAAGCUCAGAAGGCACUGGUCCUCUCAGGUGGCACCCAGAUCCAAUGUGAGCCAUGGCGGACGAAGGGUGGUUAAGUGAAAAGCUUUGGAGUGCUGACAGGUGGUCCCUCUGAUAUGCCAGGAAAUUCAUUCUGGGCAAGAGAAACAAAGUAGAGUCCAUCUUCUAAUGUUACUGGCACCAUACCAACAAGGUGUCAGCUAGAAACCUCUCUCUCUCUCUUGCAAAUUCUAGCCUGCAAAACCUGAGGACUGGCCUCAGUCUAGUCAGAAAUUUGCCUGAAAACAUCAUUCCUUGGGGUGGUGGGACUUCUGGGUAAACCAGUGUGACUUGAAUUCUUGAUUUCUUAUACUCCCUUCUAACCAACCACCUGAAUGCUGAUCUCUACUAGCUAUCUGUGUGCCUUGCAUUUCAAUCAGCAGCCUUAAAAAUGAUGAGGAGGAGGAGGAUGAGGACGAUAGCCAACAUUUACUGUUUUUCAGUUACUGUUCUAAGUACUUUACAAAUACCAGAUAAUUUUUUCUUCAUAGCACUGUCAUUACUCCCAUUUUACAGAUGAAGAAAACAAGGCUUAAAUAGAUCACAUGAUUUGGUCAAGGUCACUCAUGUCAUAGAGCCUGAAUCCAAAUCCAGUGAAGCCUCCAGAGCCUAGGUUCUACCCAUGACCCUGUGUUGCCUAUUGAUGGUACGGUGUAGGUUUUUUCCUUCUUCCUUUUUCUUUUUUUGAAAGUCUUUAUUGAAUUAUAAUUGGCAUACCAUUAACUGCAAAUAUUUGAAAAAUAAAAUUUUAUGAGCUCUGACAUACAUACACCCAUAAAACCAUUGUUCCAAUCAAGAUAAUGAAUAUGUCCGUCAUUCCCAAAAGCUUCCCUGUGCCCCUUGGUAAUCCAUCCCUCACUCCCCACCCCAUUCUGUUCCUAGGCAACUAAUCAUCUGUUUUCUGUCAGAUUAAUUUGCAUUUUCUAGAGUUUUAUAUAUGGAAGCAGACAGCAUGUACUCUUUUUUUGUCUGGCUUCUUUCACUCAGCAUAAUUAUUUUUAGUUUCAUCUAUAUUGGUGCAUGUAUCAACAAUUCAUUCUUUUCUAUUCCUGAGUACUAUUCCAUUAUAUAGGUGUACUAAAUUUGUUUAUUCAACUCUUGAUGGACAUUGAGUUGUUUACAGUUUUUGGCUAUUACAAAUAAAGCUGCUAUGAACCUUC
Molecule: long non-coding RNA, 1884 nt
Filed under: Pongo abelii (Sumatran orangutan)
Lineage: Eukaryota; Metazoa; Chordata; Mammalia; Primates; Hominidae
Description: lincRNA
Source: RNAcentral